This 460-nucleotide ribosomal RNA is filed under the name uncultured bacterium. Its description in RNAcentral is "partial 16S ribosomal RNA". It matches the Rfam family "Bacterial small subunit ribosomal RNA", at positions 338 to 795 of the family's 1533-position model. The record is from RNAcentral.
CCUACGGGGUGCUGCAGUGAGGAAUAUUGGUCAAUGGACGAGAGUCUGAACCAGCCAAGUAGCGUGAAGGAUGACUGCCCUAUGGGUUGUAAACUUCUUUUAUAUGGGAAUAAAAUGUUCCACGUGUGGGAUUUUGUAUGUACCAUAUGAAUAAGGAUCGGCUAACUCCGUGCCAGCAGCCGCGGUAAUACGGAGGAUCCGAGCGUUAUCCGGAUUUAUUGGGUUUAAAGGGAGCGUAGGUGGAUUGUUAAGUCAGUUGUGAAAGUUUGCGGCUCAACCGUAAAAUUGCAGUUGAAACUGGCAGUCUUGAGUACAGUAGAGGUGAGCGGAAUUCGUGGUGUAGCGGUGAAAUGCUUAGAUAUCACGAAGAACUCCGAUUGCGAAGGCAGUUCACUGGACUGCAACUGACACUGAGGCUCGAAAGUGUGGGUAUCAAACAGGAUUAGAUACCCUGGUAGUC